AAAUUGAAGAGUUUGAUCAUGGCUCAGAUUGAACGCUGGCGGCAGGCCUAACACAUGCAAGUCGAACGGUAACAGGAAGUAGCUUGCUGCUUCGCUGACGAGUGGCGGACGGGUGAGUAAUGUCUGGGAAACUGCCUGAUGGAGGGGGAUAACUACUGGAAACGGUAGCUAAUACCGCAUAACGUCGCAAGACCAAAGAGGGGGACCUUCGGGCCUCUUGCCAUCGGAUGUGCCCAGAUGGGAUUAGCUAGUAGGUGGGGUAAC
This 264-nucleotide ribosomal RNA is filed under the name Enterobacter hormaechei. RNAcentral's name for it is "partial 16S ribosomal RNA". It matches the Rfam family "Bacterial small subunit ribosomal RNA", at positions 1 to 261 of the family's 1533-position model. The record is from RNAcentral. Lineage: Bacteria; Pseudomonadati; Pseudomonadota; Gammaproteobacteria; Enterobacterales; Enterobacteriaceae.